UGGGGAAUAUUGCGCAAUGGGCGGAAGCCUGACGCAGCGACGCCGCGUGGGGGAUGACGGCCUUCGGGUUGUAAACCUCUUCAGCAUCGACGAAGCCUUUUUGGGUGACGGUAGGUGCAGAAGAAGCCCCGGCUAACUUCGUGCCAGCAGCCGCGGUAAUACGAAGGGGGCUAGCGUUGUUCGGAAUUACUGGGCGUAAAGGGCGCGUAGGCGGACUGUUAAGUCAGGGUGAAAUCCCGGGGCUCAACCCCGGAACUGCCUUUGACUUACUGGCGGUCUUGAGUUCGGGAGAGGUGAGUGGAAUUCCGAGUGUAGAGGUGAAAUUCGUAGAUAUUCGGAGGAACACCAGUGGCGAAGGCGGCUCACUGGCCCGAUACUGACGCUGAGGCGCGAAAGCGUGGGGAGCAAACAGGAUUAGAUACCC
This 424-nucleotide ribosomal RNA is filed under the name uncultured bacterium. Its description in RNAcentral is "bacterial SSU rRNA". It matches the Rfam family "Bacterial small subunit ribosomal RNA", at positions 355 to 787 of the family's 1533-position model. The record is from RNAcentral.